RNAcentral lists this ribosomal RNA (255 nucleotides) under uncultured soil bacterium. RNAcentral's name for it is "partial 16S ribosomal RNA". It matches the Rfam family "Bacterial small subunit ribosomal RNA", at positions 26 to 285 of the family's 1533-position model. The record is from RNAcentral.
AGGACGAACGCUGGCGGCGUGCUUAACACAUGCAAGUCGAGCGGUAAGGCCUUUCGGGGUACACGAGCGGCGAACGGGUGAGUAACACGUGGGUGAUCUGCCCUGCACUUCGGGAUAAGCCUGGGAAACUGGGUCUAAUACCGGAUAUGACCUCGGGUUGCAUGACUUGGGGUGGAAAGAUUUAUCGGUGCAGGAUGGGCCCGCGGCCUAUCAGCUUGUUGGUGGGGUAAUGGCCUACCAAGGCGACGACGGGUA